AGAGUUUGGAAUCCUGGCUCAGAUUGAACGCUGGCUGCACGCUUAACACAUGCAAGUCGAACGGCAGCGAGGAGUAGCUUGCUACUCUGUCGGCGAGUGGCGGACGGGUGAGUAAUACAUAGGAACCAACCAUAGAGUGGGGGAUAACCUGGGGAAACCCAGACUAAUACCGCGUACGCCCUACGGGGUAAAGCUAGGGACCAUUUAUGGCCUGGCGCUUUUUGAUGGGCCUAUGUUGGAUUAGCUUGUUGGUGGGGUAAAGGCCUACCAAGGCGACGAUCUAUAGCUGGUCUGAGAGGAUGGUCAGCCACACUGGGACUGAGACACGGCCCAGACUCCUACGGGAGGCAGCAGUGGGGAAUAUUGGACAAUGGGGGCAACCCUGAUCCAGCGAUGCAGCGUGUGUGAAGAAGGCCUUCGGGUUGUAAAGCACUUUCAGUGGUGAGGAAGUUUCAUUGGUUAAGAGCUGGUGGAAUUGACGUUAACCACAGAAGAAGCACCGGCUAACUCUGUGCCAGCAGCCGCGGUAAUACAGAGGGUGCGAGCGUUAAUCGGAAUUACUGGGCGUAAAGCGCACGUAGGCGGAUGAUUAAGUCGGAUGUGAAAGCCCUAGGCUCAACCUGGGAAAGUCAUCUGAUACUGGUUAUCUAGAGUAUGAUAGAGGCAAGUGGAAUUCUCGGUGUAGCGGUGAAAUGCGUA
Molecule: ribosomal RNA, 699 nt
Filed under: uncultured bacterium
Lineage: Bacteria
Description: bacterial SSU rRNA
Rfam family: Bacterial small subunit ribosomal RNA
Source: RNAcentral